GCGGUCGUGGCGGAACUGGCAGACGCGCACGCUUGAGGGGCGUGUGGUAUUACCGUGUGGGUUCGAUUCCCACCGACCGCACCA
This 84-nucleotide transfer RNA is filed under the name Clostridiaceae bacterium. RNAcentral's name for it is "tRNA-Leu". It matches the Rfam family "tRNA". From Rfam's summary of the family: Transfer RNA (tRNA) molecules are approximately 80 nucleotides in length. Their secondary structure includes four short double-helical elements and three loops (D, anti-codon, and T loops). Lineage: Bacteria; Bacillati; Bacillota; Clostridia; Eubacteriales; Clostridiaceae. The record is from RNAcentral.